This 253-nucleotide ribosomal RNA is filed under the name uncultured bacterium. Its description in RNAcentral is "partial 16S ribosomal RNA". It matches the Rfam family "Bacterial small subunit ribosomal RNA", at positions 524 to 776 of the family's 1533-position model. The record is from RNAcentral.
UACGUAGGGUGCUAGCGUUGUUCGGAAUCAUUGGGCGUAAAGCGCGUGUAGGUGGUCAGUAAAGUUGGGUGUGAAAUCCCUCGGCUCAACCGAGGAAGUGCACUCAAAACUAACUGGCUUGAGAGUGGUAGAGGAAGGUGGAAUUCCUAGUGUAGAGGUGAAAUUCGUAGAUAUUAGGAGGAAUACCGGAGGCGAAGGCGGCCUUCUGGACCAUUUCUGACACUGAGACGCGAAAGCGUGGGUAGCAAACAGG